This 254-nucleotide ribosomal RNA is filed under the name uncultured bacterium. Its description in RNAcentral is "partial 16S ribosomal RNA". It matches the Rfam family "Bacterial small subunit ribosomal RNA", at positions 524 to 776 of the family's 1533-position model. The record is from RNAcentral.
UACGUAGGGGCCUAGCGUUGUCCGGAUUUAUUGGGCGUAAAGAGCUCGUAGGCGGUUUGGUGAGUCGGGUGUGAAAUCUCCACGCUCAACCUGGAGACGCCACCUGAUACUGCUGUGGCUAGAGUCCGGUAGGGGAGCAUGGAAUUCCUGGUGUAGCGGUGAAAUGCGCAGAUAUCAGGAGGAACACCAGUGGCGAAGGCGGUGCUCUGGGCCGGAACUGACGCUGAGGAGCGAAAGCCAGGGGAGCAAACGGG